ACUCCUACGGGAGGCAGCAGUAGGGAAUAUUGGUCAAUGGGCGAAAGCCUGAACCAGCCAUGCCGCGUGUCAGAUGAAGGUCCUCUGGAUUGUAAAUGACUUUUCUACGGGAAGAAUGAGCCGUCUGCGGACGGAAGUUGACGGUACCGUAGGAAUAAGCACCGGCUAACUACGUGCCAGCAGCCGCGGUAAUACGUAGGGGUGCAAGCGUUGUCCGGAUUUACUGGGGUUUAAAGGGUACGUAGGCGGUUGUGCCAAGUCUGGGGUGAAAGUUUGCAGCUCAACUGUAAAAUUGCCUUGGAUACUGGUCGGCUAGAGUAGUGGAGCGGUGGCUGGAAUUUAUAGUGUAGCGGUGAAAUGCUUAGAUACUAUGAGGAACACCAAUUGCGAAGGCAGGUCACUGGUCACUAACUGACGCUGAGGUACGAAAGUGUGGGGAUCAAACAGGAUUAGAUACCCUGGUAGGCAAGCG
This 472-nucleotide ribosomal RNA is filed under the name uncultured bacterium. Its description in RNAcentral is "bacterial SSU rRNA". It matches the Rfam family "Bacterial small subunit ribosomal RNA", at positions 335 to 801 of the family's 1533-position model. The record is from RNAcentral.